This is a non-coding RNA of Triticum aestivum (bread wheat), 135 nucleotides long. NCBI's taxonomy places the organism in Eukaryota, Viridiplantae, Streptophyta, Magnoliopsida, Poales, Poaceae. The record is from Rfam.
GAUAUAUUACCUCCGUCCCAAAUUAGUUGUCUUAGAUUUGUCUAGAUACGGAUGUACCUACCACUAAAACGUGUCUAGAUACAUCCGUAUCUAGACAAAUCCAAGACAACUAAUUCGGGACGGAGGAAGUAUGAU